AAACCCUUCGUUUUCAGGAGAAUCAAAUGAACCCAUCCAUCUUCGAGAAGCUACGAAGAAUGCACCUAGAUUUUCGUCUUCCCUUUUGAAUCAUAUAGGAGUAUUACAUUUCACUCCCACAAAAUCUCUCUGCAAAAACCAAAUUCACCUCUCUCUCUCUCUCUCUCUCUCUAUUUUCCAUGGCCAAGACUCGACCUGGAAAACGUGACUUGGACUCUUACACCAUUAGACGCACCAACAAAGUUGUCAGAGCUGGAGACUGUGUGUUGAUGCGACCAUCAGAAGGCGAUACUGCUCCAUAUGUGGCACGUGUAGAAAAACUCGAAGCCGAUAACCGCAACAAUAUAAAGGUGCAUGUUAGAUGGUAUUACCGGCCAGAGGAGUCACUGGGAGGACGGAGACAGUUUCAUGGAGCAAAGGAGUUAUUCUUGUCUGACCACUAUGAUGUCCAAAGUGCCCACACUAUAGAUGGGAAGUGCAUUGUUCACUCUUUCAAGAACUAUACUAAGCUUGAGAAUGUUGGUCCAGAGGAUUACUACUGCCGGUUUGAGUAUAAAGCGGCAACUGGAGCUUUUGUGCCAGAUCGCGUUGCAGUGUAUUGCAAAUGCGAGAUGCCAUAUAAUCCAGAUGAUUUAAUGGUACAAUGUGAGGAGUGCAAGGACUGGUAUCAUCCAGCCUGUGUGGGCCUGACUGGUGAACAAGCUAAACAAAUUGAUGACUUUGUUUGUUCCGAAUGCUCAUCCGAAGAUCUGAAGAAGUCUCAUAAUACUUAUGCUGCAUCCCCUCUGUCUAAUGGCAAGUCCGAGACGACAAGAUGAUAGUUUCCAAAACACUGUCAAAACACACUUACUGGAGGACAGACUCUUUUCUUGAACUUAGUGGUUGAGCCGAAGCGCCAGAAGAGAUAGGUGGAGCUGUGGUAAGAUGGAUGAAGCCAGUUUUCUUCAUGUUUUGGAUGCUCAUCUAGAUUUUGUACAGUGCAAUGAACCGUAACUAUGUUCUUUGCAUAGAUUAGCUGGUAUCUGUUAUGUCUUCCUUAUCAGUAGUUCUUGUAUGUACUAGAAGAUUGGAAGACGACUCUUCAAAAAUACUGUUAGAUUAACAAGACUUUCUUUUGAAGUUGAAUCCGACAUUUAGUGUGAAAGCAUCAA
RNA transcript from Nicotiana tabacum (common tobacco), 1151 nucleotides. It is a transcript of the gene named chromatin remodeling protein EBS, with no coding region annotated. The record is from RefSeq and is a predicted model, not a curated record. NCBI's taxonomy places the organism in Eukaryota, Viridiplantae, Streptophyta, Magnoliopsida, Solanales, Solanaceae.